GUUCCGCGGGGAGAGGGAAGGCGAAGGCGGGCUGAGCCCGGCGCCGGGAGGAGUGGUCUAAACUCCACCGCGGCUUUCGCAUCGGAGACGUGUCUUUAGGAAGCAGAGAGGGUUCGAUUCUGGACUCCGCCCAUGACUCACUUCUCUUGUAAAGAAAGAGUUGUCCUUCCUGGUACUCCAGGUUUAUGGGAUGCAGGAUAAUGGAGCAUGCUCUAUCUGGGACAUUGCUAGUCUUAUGACAGAGGGAGAAGACAGCGAUGAGUUUUCGAAGAACUCCAGGAAGUGGCUGCAGAGCAAAGUAGGAUCCUGAUACUGAGCUCAAGUGAUUCAGAAUGAAAAGACCUUGGCACAGACCUGUUAAGGAAGCUCCAUAUAAGGUGAAGAAAACAACAUGCUCAGCCAUGUCCUUGCCUUCUGCACACGGUAGUGCAUUCACUGCCUGAGAAUUCAAGGCUAAAACAAAAAGAGGAGCUUUUGUUCCAACAGAUAAGUACUUACCUUUUUCAAAAAAUGCAUAAGCUGUCCUGGGUGUU
Molecule: long non-coding RNA, 533 nt
Filed under: Homo sapiens (human)
Lineage: Eukaryota; Metazoa; Chordata; Mammalia; Primates; Hominidae
Description: MYOSLID antisense RNA 1
Source: RNAcentral